This 440-nucleotide ribosomal RNA is filed under the name uncultured bacterium. RNAcentral describes it as "partial 16S ribosomal RNA". It matches the Rfam family "Bacterial small subunit ribosomal RNA", at positions 338 to 795 of the family's 1533-position model. The record is from RNAcentral.
CCUACGGGAGGCAGCAGUGGGGAAUAUUGCACAAUGGGGGAAACCCUGAUGCAGCGACGCCGCGUGAGUGAAGAAGUAUUUCGGUAUGUAAAGCCCUAUCAGCAGGGAAGAGAAUGACGGUACCUGAGUAAGAAGCCCCGGCUAACUACGUGCCAGCAGCCGCGGUAAUACGUAGGGGGCAAGCGUUAUCCGGAUUUACUGGGUGUAAAGGGAGCGUAGACGGCGAAGAAAGUCUGAAGUGAAAGCCCGCGGCUCAACCGCGGAACUGCUUUGGAAACUUUUUUGCUGGAGUACCGGAGAGGUAAGCGGAAUUCCUAGUGUAGCGGUGAAAUGCGUAGAUAUUAGGAGGAACACCAGUGGCGAAGGCGGCUUACUGGACGGUAACUGACGUGGAGGCUCGAGAGCGUGGGGAGCAAACAGGAUUAGAUACCCCUGUAGUC